GCAGUCGCCACGGGAAUACGAAGGGGGCUAGCGUUGUUCGGAUUUACUGGGCGUAAAGGGCGCGUAGGCGGGCGAAUAAGUCAGGGGUGAAAUCCCAAGGCUCAACCGGGGAGGGUCAUUGGAAACUGGGAAACUUGAGUGCAGAAGAGGAGAGUGGAAUUCCACGUGUAGCGGUGAAAUGCGUAGAGAUGUGGAGGAACACCAGUGGCGAAGGCGACUCUCUGGUCUGUAACUGACGCUGAGGAGCGAAAGCGUGGGGAGCGAACAGGAUUAGAGACCCCAGUAGUCCCUGUCUCUUAUAC
This 302-nucleotide ribosomal RNA is filed under the name uncultured bacterium. Its description in RNAcentral is "partial 16S ribosomal RNA". It matches the Rfam family "Bacterial small subunit ribosomal RNA", at positions 508 to 807 of the family's 1533-position model. The record is from RNAcentral.